CAGCAGCCGCGGUAAUACGAGGGGGGCAAGCGUUGUUCGGAAUUAUUGGGCGUAAAGGGUGCGUAGGCGGUUUGAUAAGUCUUGUGUGAAAUCUAUGGGCUCAACCCAUAGUCUGCAUAGGAAACUGUCGGGCUUGAGAGUGGGAGAGGUGAGUGGAAUUUCCGGUGUGGCGGUGAAAUGCGUAGAUAUCGGAAGGAACACCUGUGGCGAAAGCGGCUCACUAGACCAUUUCUGACGCUGAUGCACGAAAGCUAGGGGAGCAGACAGGAUUAGAUACCCCGGUAGUCCCUGUCUCUUAUAC
Molecule: ribosomal RNA, 301 nt
Filed under: uncultured bacterium
Lineage: Bacteria
Description: partial 16S ribosomal RNA
Rfam family: Bacterial small subunit ribosomal RNA
Source: RNAcentral